Long non-coding RNA from Carassius auratus (goldfish), 1636 nucleotides. RefSeq lists it as uncharacterized. NCBI's taxonomy places the organism in Eukaryota, Metazoa, Chordata, Actinopteri, Cypriniformes, Cyprinidae. The record is from RefSeq and is a predicted model, not a curated record. The transcript has 4 exons.
CUUGUUGCUGAAACCUUCUUAAAAACACAUACCCACCAGGGAAUUUUUUAAUAGGUUACUUUUAUCAUUUUGUAUUAGCAGAAACACCCAUGUCAUACUGCUAAAGUAUAUAUCCAAUAUGUUACCUUGUUUUGGAAGACACCCUUCCAAAACACCACUUAUACACACAUCUUAAGCGCGUGUUAAUACCAUUAAUACAUAGAGUUACUUAAUCACUAAAUCAUGAAAACAAUGGUACAAAUGUUGAGCCAAAACUGAAAGUGGACUUAAAAUGGUAAUUGCAAUUGUUGCUAACUAUAAGUAAUAAUGAAUGGAAAAGGUGUGGGGUAUGGUGCCAUUGUUUCUUAGGAUAUAUAAAGAACCUGCAUAACCCUGUGUAACACACAACAAAAUAGACAACGUAACCAUUAAUGUGUUAGACAGCAAAGGCAAUGUUGUCAUGCUAACGGUUUCCAAGGACAUCGCUGAAAGAAUGCAAAAUGGUAAGUAAACCACAUGACUGUGAAAUAAUUACAAGUCACCAAUGAUUUGUGCAAGUGUUUUAUUUAUCAUUUAUUCCCCCAGAUCAAAUGUUCCUUUCCUAUGUCAUGGAGAAAGCUGUUGAAACAAAAGCUCUCCAGCUUGUGCUGCAAAGCUUCUCCAACCUCCUAUUCCAUGUCCCACUACCUCCAUUAGGUCGCCAGCACCCCUAAACCUCAGUUUUGUGAAACCACCAUCCAGUGCCCCAUUACUACCACUAGGCCCCCUGUACUACUUACCUCCACUGUCAAGGACCCACCACCUUCCACUCUGCAACCUGGUGCAGUGUGUGGAAACCCUUCAGCAUCCAUUCAACCUUCAUCCCCUUCCUUCCAGUCAGACAGGCAUGAAUCUCAAGAAAUAACACAUACAAUGACACUAUUUCUACUGGACCUUACAAAAACUCACCAGCACCUUUAUUUUCGGAACAAAAUGGCAUUCUAUAAAAAAAAUACAAAACUUAUUCUCACUAAAGGGCUACAACUUGUCAAGUGAGAAAAUUCAUGUUAGCAAACAUGUUAACUACUUAUAAGAGAGUGAAAGACAGGCGCCGUGCAACUGGGGAAGGGAAGAUCACCUGGGAGUACUAUACACUAAUGGAUGAGUUAUUUGGGUCAUCGGGGAUCGGUACUGCACCACCUGGCACCAUUCACUCCAUACCUCUGGGUUUGGAAGAGACCUCUUCCACAAGCAGGCCCACAACGUCUUCUCUUCAAGACCAGCCGGUAGGUGCUAGUAUGGAUGAACAGCCAGGAACUGCUACCAUACAAAAUGCAAACAUCACAAGAAGGCAAAGACGACCACUUACAAUUCCUGGACGCUUAUGAAGAGCAUGCAGAGAGAAGGACUGCUGUGCUUGAGUCCCUGGUAAGGCCAGAUCUGGAGAGAUGGCGGCGACUUAAGGAGAGGCGGAGAAGGUCCUUCAAAAAAAAAAGAUGGUGACCAGCUUGGGAUCAAUUGUGGAGGAGCAAAUUAUGCAUCUAUUACAGAACCCACAUGAACCCCAAUAAAAUUAUAAUCUAAAGAUGUUAUCUCUUUUGAUUUACACCUUUCCCCAAAAUGUCAUAUGUUUUUUUUUUUCCCAAAUAACAAUUUCUAAUGACAAACUAAUUUUGUU